GGGGUCGGCGAUUGCCUCCUGGGUUGCUGGGUGGCGGGGUGUGGCUGUGGGUUGCUCCGUCGGCCCUUGCGGGUCCUUGGCUUGGCUCCCUGGGGCGCACCUUUGCUAGGGAUGUCGCUUGCGCGACGGGCUAGGCGGGGCCCCCUCGGGGGCUUUUUGUACGACCGCAAUGGCCGGGGUGUGGACGUUAUGGCUAGGGGGUGGGGUGAGGGGUGCUAUGGGGCCUCCCCGGGGGUCGUAUUGGGCGGGUGUGCGGGGGCGCGGCGCGUGGUUCCUGGCCCGGUGGAUCCGCGUUGGGAUUGGCUGGUCUGCUGGCUGGGUGCACCGGGCGCCGUGGGCGCGAUUCCGGGGCGGGGGUGCCCCGGGGGCGGAUCCUUGGGCUACGUGUCCGGGGAGGUGCUCUCCGGCCAUCUGCCCGGGGACCGGCCGCGGCUCGUGGCGGCGCUGCGCAGCCUUGGGCGGGGCGGGGCUGGUGGCCUUGGGCCCGCUGUUGUUUGGGGUGUGCUGGCGUCGGGGGGGUGUCUCGUGCCGGUGCGUGGGUCGUCGGGGAUUGCCUCCGUGGGGGGGGGGGGGGGGCUCUAUUGGCGCCGUUGGUGUGGGGGGGCGGUUCCGGGCUGGGGGUGCUUCGGUACUCUGGCUUGCCGGUCCGUGGCUGGCGGGGUGGCCCUGCUUGGCGGUGGAUGGCGUCCUCUCUCGUCGGGGGGGCCGGGGCCGCCUCCCGGUGGAGAGUGUUGUAUCGUGGCGCCGGGUGGGCCUGUGCUGGCCCUGGUGCGGGCAUGGGCCUCCCCCCCGCUCGGCCGCUCCCCUUGGUGGCGGGGUGGCGUUGCUCCGGGCCGGCGGGCGGCGGGGGUCGCCCCCUGGGGCGCCGGGGGAUGUUGUUGGUGCCUGGCUGUGCCCGGGGGUGGGGGGUGUCGCCGUGCUCCGCGGGGCCGGCGCGGUCUGGGGGGUGCCGUGGGGGGGGGUCUCCGGCUGUGCUGUUCCGGGGCCCGCAGUGCCACUUGCCCGUCUGCGCCAUCUACCCUCUCGCGUGGCCCGCCACGCG
Molecule: long non-coding RNA, 1042 nt
Filed under: Gouania willdenowi (blunt-snouted clingfish)
Lineage: Eukaryota; Metazoa; Chordata; Actinopteri; Blenniiformes; Gobiesocidae
Description: lncRNA (ENSGWIG00000019483.1)
Source: RNAcentral